UUAGGAAUUUUGCGCAAUGGGGGAAACCCUGACGCAGCAACGCCGCGUGAGUGAAGAAGGCCUUCGGGUUGUAAAGCUCUUUUAGCAGGGACGAAUAAUGACGGUACCUGCAGAAACAGCACCGGCUAACUCCGUGCCAGCAGCCGCGGUAAUACGGAGGGUGCAAGCGUUAUUCGGAAUUACUGGGCGUAAAGCGCGUGUAGGCGGUUUACUAAGUCUGGUGUGAAAUCCCUGAACUCAAUUCAGGAAGUGCACUGGAUACUGGAAGACUAGAGUGUGGGAGAGGUAAGCGGAAUUCCUGGUGUAGAGGUGAAAUUCGUAGAUAUCAGGAGGAACAACAGAAGCGAAGGCGGCUUACUGGACCACAACUGACGCUGAGACGCGAAAGCGUGGGGAGCAA
This 400-nucleotide ribosomal RNA is filed under the name uncultured bacterium. RNAcentral describes it as "bacterial SSU rRNA". It matches the Rfam family "Bacterial small subunit ribosomal RNA", at positions 355 to 771 of the family's 1533-position model. The record is from RNAcentral.